UGAGGAAUAUUGGUCAAUGGGCGAGAGCCUGAACCAGCCAAGUCGCGUGAGGGAUGACGGCCCUACGGGUUGUAAACCUCUUUUGCCGGGGAGCAAUGCUCCGCACGAGUGCGGAGCGGGAGAGUACCCGGAGAAAAAGCAUCGGCUAACUCCGUGCCAGCAGCCGCGGUAAUACGGAGGAUGCGAGCGUUAUCCGGAUUUAUUGGGUUUAAAGGGUGCGUAGGCGGAACGCCAAGUCAGCGGUAAAAAGUGCGGUGCUCAACGCCGUAGUGCCGUUGAAACUGCCGGUCUUGAGUGAGCGAGAAGUAUGCGGAAUGCGUGGUGUAGCGGUGAAAUGCAUAGAUAUCACGCAGAACUCCGAUUGCGAAGGCAGCAUACCGGCGCUCAACUGACGCUGAGGCACGAAAGCGUGGGGAUCGAACAGGAUUAGAUACC
This 435-nucleotide ribosomal RNA is filed under the name uncultured bacterium. RNAcentral's name for it is "bacterial SSU rRNA". It matches the Rfam family "Bacterial small subunit ribosomal RNA", at positions 355 to 786 of the family's 1533-position model. The record is from RNAcentral.